GUCCCCUUCGUCUAGAGGCCUAGGACACCGCCCUUUCACGGCGGCAACAGGGGUUCGAAUCCCGUAGGGGACG
RNAcentral lists this transfer RNA (73 nucleotides) under Plautia stali symbiont. It matches the Rfam family "tRNA". From Rfam's summary of the family: Transfer RNA (tRNA) molecules are approximately 80 nucleotides in length. Their secondary structure includes four short double-helical elements and three loops (D, anti-codon, and T loops). Further hydrogen bonds mediate the characteristic L-shaped molecular structure. tRNAs have two regions of fundamental functional importance: the anti-codon, which is responsible for specific mRNA codon recognition, and the 3' end, to which the tRNAs corresponding amino acid is attached (by aminoacyl-tRNA synthetases). tRNAs cope with the degeneracy of the genetic code in two manners: having more than one tRNA (with a specific anti-codon) for a particular amino acid; and 'wobble' base-pairing, i.e. permitting non-standard base-pairing at the 3rd anti-codon position. The record is from Rfam by way of RNAcentral. Lineage: Bacteria; Pseudomonadati; Pseudomonadota; Gammaproteobacteria; Enterobacterales; Enterobacteriaceae.